CCUACGGUGGUCAGCAGUGGGGAAUAUUGGACAAUGGGCGAAAGCCUGAUCCAGCCAUGCCGCGUGUGUGAAGAAGGCCUUCGGGUUGUAAAGCACUUUCAGUGGGGAAGAAAGCCUUGGGGCUAAUACCCUCGAGGAAGGACAUCACCCACAGAAGAAGCACCGGCUAACUCCGUGCCAGCAGCCGCGGUAAUACGGAGGGUGCGAGCGUUAAUCGGAAUUACUGGGCGUAAAGCGCGCGUAGGCGGUCUGAUAAGCCGGUUGUGAAAGCCCCGGGCUCAACCUGGGAACGGCAUCCGGAACUGUCAGGCUAGAGUGCAGGAGAGGAAGGUAGAAUUCCCGGUGUAGCGGUGAAAUGCGUAGAGAUCGGGAGGAAUACCAGUGGCGAAGGCGGCCUUCUGGACUGACACUGACGCUGAGGUGCGAAAGCGUGGGUAGCAAACAGGAUUAGAUACCCCAGUAGUC
This 465-nucleotide ribosomal RNA is filed under the name Vreelandella stevensii. RNAcentral's name for it is "partial 16S ribosomal RNA". It matches the Rfam family "Bacterial small subunit ribosomal RNA", at positions 338 to 795 of the family's 1533-position model. Lineage: Bacteria; Pseudomonadati; Pseudomonadota; Gammaproteobacteria; Oceanospirillales; Halomonadaceae. The record is from RNAcentral.